Molecule: ribosomal RNA, 253 nt
Filed under: uncultured bacterium
Lineage: Bacteria
Description: partial 16S ribosomal RNA
Rfam family: Bacterial small subunit ribosomal RNA
Source: RNAcentral
UACGAAGGGGGCUAGCGUUGUUCGGAAUUACUGGGCGUAAAGCGCACGUAGGCGGAUUGUUAAGUCAGGGGUGAAAUCCCGGGGCUCAACCCCGGAACUGCCUUUGAUACUGGCAAUCUCGAGUCCGGAAGAGGUGAGUGGAACUCCUAGUGUAGAGGUGGAAUUCGUAGAUAUUAGGAAGAACACCGGUGGCGAAGGCGGCUCACUGGUCCGGCACUGACGCUGAGGUGCGAAAGCGUGGGGAGCAAACAGG